Molecule: ribosomal RNA, 1369 nt
Filed under: uncultured bacterium
Lineage: Bacteria
Description: bacterial SSU rRNA
Rfam family: Bacterial small subunit ribosomal RNA
Source: RNAcentral
GACGAACGCUGGCGGCGUGCCUAAUACAUGCAAGUAGAACGCUGAAGAGAGGAGCUUGCUCUUCUUGGAUGAGUUGCGAACGGGUGAGUAACGCGUAGGUAACCUGCCUUGUAGCGGGGGAUAACUAUUGGAAACGAUAGCUAAUACCGCAUAACAAUGGAUGACACAUGUCAUUUAUUUGAAAGGGGCAAUUGCUCCACUACAAGGUGGACCUGCGUUGUAUUAGCUAGUAGGUGAGGUAACGGCUCACCUAGGCGACGAUACAUAGCCGACCCGAGAGGGUGAUCGGCCACACUGGGACUGAGACACGGCCCAGACUCCUACGGGAGGCAGCAGUAGGGAAUCUUCGGCAAUGGGGGCAACCCUGACCGAGCAACGCCGCGUGAGUGAAGAAGGUUUUCGGAUCGUAAAGCUCUGUUGUAAGUCAAGAACGAGUGUGAGAGUGGAAAAUUCACACUGUGACGGUAGCUUACCAGAAAGGGACGGCUAACUACGUGCCAGCAGCCGCGGUAAUACGUAGGUCCCGAGCGUUGUCCGGAUUUAUUGGGCGUAAAGCGAGCGCAGGCGGUUUGAUAAGUCUGAAGUUAAAGGCUGUGGCUCAACCAUAGUUCGCUUUGGAAACUGUCAAACUUGAGUGCAGAAGGGGAGAGUGGAAUUCCAUGUGUAGCGGUGAAAUGCGUAGAUAUAUGGAGGAACACCGGUGGCGAAAGCGGCUCUCUGGUCUGUAACUGACGCUGAGGCUCGAAAGCGUGGGGAGCGAACAGGAUUAGAUACCCUGAUAGUCCACGCCGUAAACGAUGAGUGCUAGGUGUUGGAUCCUUUCCGGGAUUCAGUGCCGCAGCUAACGCAUUAAGCACUCCGCCUGGGGAGUACGACCGCAAGGUUGAAACUCAAAGGAAUUGACGGGGGCCCGCACAAGCGGUGGAGCAUGUGGUUUAAUUCGAAGCAACGCGAAGAACCUUACCAGGUCUUGACAUCCCGAUGCUAUUUCUAGAGAUAGAAAGUUACUUCGGUACAUCGGUGACAGGUGGUGCAUGGUUGUCGUCAGCUCGUGUCGUGAGGUGUUGGGUUAAGUCCCGCAACGAGCGCAACCCCUAUUGUUAGUUGCCAUCAUUCAGUUGGGCACUCUAGCGAGACUGCCGGUAAUAAACCGGAGGAAGGUGGGGAUGACGUCAAAUCAUCAUGCCCCUUAUGACCUGGGCUACACACGUGCUACAAUGGUUGGUACAACGAGUUGCGAGUCGGUGACGGCAAGCUAAUCUCUUAAAGCCAAUCUCAGUUCGGAUUGUAGGCUGCAACUCGCCUACAUGAAGUCGGAAUCGCUAGUAAUCGCGGAUCAGCACGCCGCGGUGAAUACGUUCCCGGGCCU